RNAcentral lists this ribosomal RNA (532 nucleotides) under [Candida] sp. Its description in RNAcentral is "eukaryotic LSU rRNA". It matches the Rfam family "Eukaryotic large subunit ribosomal RNA", at positions 48 to 633 of the family's 3401-position model. Lineage: Eukaryota; Fungi; Ascomycota; Saccharomycetes; Saccharomycetales. The record is from RNAcentral.
UAGCGGAGGAAAAGAAACCAACCGGGAUUGCCUCAGUAACGGCGAGUGAAGCGGCAAAAGCUCAAAUUUGAAAUCGGUGCGCCGAGUUGUAAAUUGAAGGACCCAAGCUGGGACGACGCCGGUUUAAGUGCCUUGGAACAGGCCGCCAUGGAGGGUGACAGCCCCGUGAAGCCGGGCCGUCGUGCCGUGCAGCUUGCGUCCGACGAGUCGAGUUGUUUGGGAAUGCAGCUCUAAGUGGGUGGUAAGCUCCAUCUAAAGCUAAAUAUUGGCGAGAGACCGAUAGCGAACAAGUACAGUGAUGGAAAGAUGAAAAGCACUUUGAAAAGAGAGUGAAACAGCACGUGAAAUUGUUGAAAGGGAAGGGCUUGGCCUCAGACGCGGGCGCGCUUCGGUGCGCCCGGGCCAGCAUGGGCUCGCGGGGGGCGACAAUGGCGCGAGAACGUGGCAGUGCCGAUUUUCGGUGGUGUGUUACAGCUCGCGCAGACAGUCCCACCGCGGGCCGAGGCAUGCGCAUCGCAAGGAUGCUGCCGUA